RNAcentral lists this ribosomal RNA (539 nucleotides) under Rhizopus stolonifer. RNAcentral describes it as "partial large subunit ribosomal RNA". It matches the Rfam family "Eukaryotic large subunit ribosomal RNA", at positions 130 to 626 of the family's 3401-position model. The record is from RNAcentral. Lineage: Eukaryota; Fungi; Mucoromycota; Mucoromycetes; Mucorales; Rhizopodaceae.
UAGCUAAACAGGAUUGUAAACUGUAGAAGUGUUUUCCAGGCAAUCCGAGUUAAUAAGUCCUUUGGAACAGGGCAUCAUAGAGGGUGAGAAUCCCGUCUUUGAUUCGAGAUAUUUUGUCUUUUGCGAUACACUUUCAAAGAGUCAGGUUGUUUGGGAAUGCAGCCUAAAUUGGGUGGUAAAUCUCACCUAAAGCUAAAUAUUGGCGAGAAACCGAUAGCGAACAAGUACCGUGAGGGAAAGAUGAAAAGAACUUUGAAAAGAGAGUUAAACAGUAUGUGAAAUUGUUAAAAGGGAACCGUUUGGAGCCAGACUGGCUUGUCUGUAAUCAAUCUAGGUUUCGUGCCUGGAUGCACUUGCAGACUAUUUGCCUGCCAACGACAAUUUUUUUUGAGUGUAAAAACUAUUGGAAAUGUGGCCAAUAUUUAUUUAUUGGUGUUAUAGUCCUUUAGAAAAUACCUUGAAUUGGAUUGAGGAACGCAGCGAAUGCUUCUCUUUUGAGGCAAAGUCUUUUAUUGGGAUUUACGGAUCAGACUGUGGCA